CACGUAGGCGGCGAUUUAAGUCAGAGGUGAAAGCCCGGGGCUCAACCCCGGGACUGCCUUUGAGACUGGAUGUCUUGAGUAUGAGAGAGGUGUGUGGAACUCUGAGUGUAGAGGUGAAAUUCGUAGAUAUUCGGAAGAACACCAGUGGCGAAGGCGACACACUGGCUCAUUACUGACGCUGAGGCUCGAAAGCGUGGGGAGCAAACA
Molecule: ribosomal RNA, 207 nt
Filed under: uncultured bacterium
Lineage: Bacteria
Description: partial 16S ribosomal RNA
Rfam family: Bacterial small subunit ribosomal RNA
Source: RNAcentral